GUGAAGCGGCAAAAGCUCAAAUUUGAAAUCUGGCUCUUUCAGAGUCCGAGUUGUAAUUUGAAGAAGGUAUCUUUGGGUCUGGCUCUUGUCUAUGUUUCUUGGAACAGAACGUCACAGAGGGUGAGAAUCCCGUGCGAUGAGAUGAUCCAGGCCUAUGUAAAGUUCCUUCGAAGAGUCGAGUUGUUUGGGAAUGCAGCUCUAAGUGGGUGGUAAAUUCCAUCUAAAGCUAAAUAUUGGCGAGAGACCGAUAGCGAACAAGUACAGUGAUGGAAAGAUGAAAAGAACUUUGAAAAGAGAGUGAAAAAGUACGUGAAAUUGUUGAAAGGGAAGGGCUUGAGAUCAGACUUGGUAUUUUGUAUGUUACUUCUUCGGGGGUGGCCUCUACAGUUUAUCGGGCCAGCAUCAGUUUGGGCGGUAGGAGAAUUGCGUUGGAAUGUGGCACGGCUUCGGUUGUGUGUUAUAGCCUUCGUCGAUACUGCCAGCCUAGACUGAGGACUGCGGUUUAUACCUAGGAUGUUGGCAUAAUGAUCUUAAGUCGCCCGUCUU
RNAcentral lists this ribosomal RNA (546 nucleotides) under Candida tropicalis. Its description in RNAcentral is "partial large subunit ribosomal RNA". It matches the Rfam family "Eukaryotic large subunit ribosomal RNA", at positions 93 to 655 of the family's 3401-position model. Lineage: Eukaryota; Fungi; Ascomycota; Pichiomycetes; Serinales; Debaryomycetaceae. The record is from RNAcentral.